UUCUCUGUUGUCUAUAACAGCCUGUGGACUGAUUUCUAUGUGAGGGACUCGGGCUGGUUUUUCUGUGAAAAUUCAAAAGGAUGUGAUGUUUAUGCGCACUCCCGAGUGGCUUGCUUUUCUCCGGCAAUAACAGGGUGCAAUUCUAGCUAACGUUAGCUUAGAGAUGGAGUCCGCUAACGUCAACGACUGGCACCUACCACAACACAGAGUCAGGAUGUGACGUUUAUGCGCGCUCCCGAGUGGCUGGCUUCUCUCCAGCACUAACAGGGUGCAAAACUAGCUAACGUUAGUUUAGAAAUGGAGUCCACUAACGUCAGCGACCGGCAACCACCACAACACAGAGUCAGGCAGAUAAAACCACAUCAAUCAUCGACAGAAUAUGACUGCAAAGUCAUAAAAAGAAGAAAGAUAAGCGGUGAUUGUAUCUUGCUUGCUUGUGCACUGGGUCAAAGUCUGAAGUUUAGAGGUGUGCUGGUAUAUGUUUUGAUCUGAUGCUUGUUUUCACUAUGCAAACAUGAAGUAUCACUCAAUCAAUAUUAAAAAAAAAAGAAAAGAAAAAUAAGGCUACUUGAGGACAUGUAUGUGAGGCAGAAAAUGUUUUUUCCAGCCUCCAGUCAUUUUUACACAGGAGACCAUUAGACAAAUUCUUACUGUCUACUUAUCAUAACUAGUUAGGUAGAAUACAAUAUAAUCUGACAAUUUUAAACCCGACAUGCAACAAACAAACAACCAUAUAAGCCUUGUAAUCCCUGCAACCUUUUGCCUUCAUCCUCUUGACUUGGUGCACCAUAACAGAAAUUUGAGCCUGUGACAACUAUGGAGGUCUGCCAAGCUGACCAGAGUUUCAUCUGAUUUUUUUUGUCAGCUGAGCUCAGCCAAUAACAUCAGCCAAAUUAUGAAUGAUGGAUGGGUUGAUCAGUAAACCGUUACUGCCUGCUCCAUGCCUACCUGACAGCCGCGCAGAGCUCCUGAAAGCAAGAUCAAACCUGACCUGCCCCUCCUUCCUUCAUCUUCUGUUCCACCCUCAGCUUCACACACAGUGGACAGUACCAACAAUCCUUCUGUUGUCAAAGCAGAGAACAGACAGCAAACAGAUAACCUUGGGCCAAAUAUGUCUGCAAGAAUUCUGCAAGAAAAAGCUGGUAUCAAAGGAUCGGCGGAUAAUGGAUAAAGAUAAAAAAAAAACUAAACUGAGAAAAAAAAGGGAAUAAAGCCAGACAAGUGCAAGAACCAAAGCAAGGAGCGGGAAUGUUUCCAACACAUUGUGGAUAAGACUGAUGAUGCAGAAAGCAGAGCAAACACUCACCAGACCCUUUACUCUUGCUGUUGACCUUUACCAGCCGAGACUACAAAGACUACAUGCACUGGAGGCGGGGAGAGACAGUCAAGCCGCACAGAAGAGAAACUUUUUAUACCGGUAUAUACACACACAAGCAUGCACAGCUACCCAAACAAACUGACAAACAAAAGGACGGAGCAGCAGGAAGAGUUGUGUAUCCUACACAGGCAUAUGCAAUGAUGAAAGAGCAAAAAAAAAAAAAAAAAAAAAGCAGGCUGCACACUGGGACAUUGUCACCAAGGUCAAGUAAUAAAUACCCUUAUAGUGCAAGCCAAGAAAAACUCUGUGGUUUUCACACACUUGUAUGUGGUCUAAACACUACUAUACCAUGAAGCUUGGCAUUUAAAAACAAAGCGCAAGCACAUAAGUUCACCUUCAAGGGAUUUAUUGUCAUAUUAAAAUGCCAUAACAUGUGACCUGGUUGCUCUCCAAUCAAAAGUCAUGCUAUCACACACAGUGACACACAUAAAGUAUACACUAUAAAUACAUGGAGUACAGUACACACGGAAAACAUACUUAAAAAAACUGAGAUAAAUAGACUUGAAUAAAUAGAACAGAAAGUGGGUUACUGGCUACCUGCAGCUGUGUCCUGAAGACUGUUGAAAUCUCUUAUCACCUGAAGAUAAAAGCUCUCAAAACACUAAUUUCAAUGUUUUUCCUGCUACUUUUCCUAGCAACAUAUUAAGGUAUUGUAUGGUAUACUUCACUAACAAGCAAGGUUCUGCAUUACAAAAGCUAAAGAGGGUUGAGUCAUGAUUUCCACUUGAAAAAAAAAACAAACAAAUCCAAGGCAGUUGCACAAAGAGAGAAUUAGAAAACGUAUUCACACCCCAGGAUAUUAAUUCCCUUUGAAGGAUUUGUGGGGAAGUGUUGUUAAUUAUUUCACUGAGAUGGAUGAAAGAGACCUUUUACAAGUGAGAACAAAUUGUUAUUAGUGUCUUUUCAUUGGUUGCUAAGACACAAUGAGUACACAUUCGCAGUAAAACAGGAAGAGACCCCAUACAUCAAGAGGCAUUACAUCGUACAGCUUUCCAGUCGUUGCUGCCCUUUGUUUUCACUCAUCUCCCUCCCUGCCAUUGUUUCUUCAUCACAUCCUUUUCCAACUAGGAUUGGAAAUAAUCAAAUCAUACUUUGAUUAAGACUAACAAGAACUUUGCCUUCUUGAACUUAGGUUUGCUACUCAUCAAAAAAAAAAAAUUCUUUUGCUGAAGAAAAACAAACUGUUGUCUUAACACUCCCUGAUCUACACUGAAAAACAAAGACAAAAUGUAGCUUUUAAACCCAAAAUCCGCAGCUUCACAUGUUGCAUUUAUAACUACACACAACAACAUAAUCUCACUUCAUCACGGUUGGUAUUUUGCCAUCUAACAGAAUGAAAUGUUUCAACCAGGCAAUUCAACAUCAGUUGUUGUUUUCACUCUAAUAUGUUCAAAGUGUUUCUCCAUAUUACUCAGUAAUGAGUCAAACAAUGAAUAUAAAUUACAAGUCGGUCUGCAUAAAUACUUCCUGAUGCCAAGUCUUCAUCAGAAGUCUAUUGUUUCUUUACAUACUUAGCAGUGAUUCAUUCAUAUCCGUACAUACAUAAUGGUUCAAAUGAAUUUACAGCAAAAUUAUUCUUGGCACGAGAAUAAAAGGGAAUGUCGUCAUUUAUGCUUUACCGUUCAACAGAAAGAAUUCCCAUUUCUCUCUAAUGAACUGGUCUGAGCACAGAAUUUGAGAUAAAUAAUCUUUGCUGUAUCACACAGAAUGAAAGAUGUCAGAUUGUCCAAAUCAGUUUGGAUUUAAAUAUUUUAGAAAACACAAAAACCAAAAGUUAAUAACGAUGCACAUAAAUGCCGGUUGACUGUUUGCUACGCCCCACCCCUUAGGUGCUGUACAUGAUAAAUGUAGCUGAAUUGCUACUCGAAAUUCUUAGUAUUAUUGAAAAAAGUGGUCCUUAAUUUCAGACAAAGGUAGACAAAAACAAGCUUUUCAUUUCUAGCUGGCGACAGUAGAAACGACCUGUCAUUAGCAGAUUGAAAACCCUUUAUCCAGUUAACUUUUUAAUGUUUCCAGCUGACUUCUUUCAAAAACAAGAAUCUUGUUAAAGGGCUCUUAAUAAUGUUCUUGAUGGCUACAUACUGUUAAUGACAUCUUGUUAAAAAGCUGCAUGUCCCAAGCAAUGGAAUUAAAGAAACUGUGUUAUUCUUGUAUUGUAGUUAAGAACUAGUCCAAGUAUUAAAAAGUAUUAAAAGGUAUGACAAGGAAAAACUAAAGAUCCUGAGUAUCACUCUCCCUACAGCCCCGUGCACAUGCUUCGGCAUGUGGAGAAAAGCUUGACAGGCCUGCUGUGCCUGGUUACGGUUGCUAAGCUAUGGCUGGCCAAUUGCUGUUCGGGGGACGAGAUGUAUAAGAAGAGGAUUGUUGUUUCUGUCUCUGUAAACAGUGACAUUUUUUCCUCUUUCCUUUCUAGUAGUCUACACAACUCCUGAAACAAACACAUGGUGUGAUUAUCUAAUUUGGCGGUCAUUUCACGCAAUGCUUACAUCUUUUUGAAGUGUACUGAGUGAACCCUUGAGUUUAGGGAGCAUGUUCAUCGUUCUUUUUCUCAGGGUCAACUGCAGUAGAGCAAAUUAUGUUCUGGCCGACCUUGUCACCCAACAUCUGUCUUGUUCAACUCUCCCCAAAUUCCAAUCUGGCCUGAAUCUCUCUUCCCUCGCUCUGUGCACUGAGGAUCUUAGUGUUUACUCAUGAGGAAAACAGCACACUUAAAAGUCUUGAGGUUCAAAUCCAAAUAAUUGUGUGAUCAAAUCUCUCUGCAGGGUACGCCACAUUUCAGUCACCCAGUCACCCAACACUUUGUUACUCUCGUCAUACUGACACUUUCCCUUCAUUAGCUGAGGAAAAUCUUAGGCUUUGGCUAUUUGAACUUUGUGUGCUCUCACAAGGGAAUUCAGUUUCCUGUGUUGACAUGCUCUCAAGUUGGAAAAAUACAAGGGUUCUUUCCUUUAGCAAUUUCAUAAGAUUAUCCAUGUUAAGAUUCAUUAUCUUCAGCAUGUAAAGAGCUAAACCAUGCAUUAUUUUUUCCACCAAGUAAGUCAUGUUUUCCUGCCUUUUUGCAAAGGGCCUUAGAGACCUACUGUAUGCAUUGCAUGAAAUCUGGUGUACUGAUAGGCCUAAGGCCAAGGAACUGUUGAUUACAUUUUGGUACAUCUGGGAUUUCCGCCGUGAAAAAUUCUACAAGAAGUCUACUGAGCAACCAGAACAAGUUAUUAUAUUUAAUUUUUUUUUUUUUUU
Long non-coding RNA from Thunnus maccoyii (southern bluefin tuna), 4615 nucleotides. RefSeq lists it as uncharacterized. NCBI's taxonomy places the organism in Eukaryota, Metazoa, Chordata, Actinopteri, Scombriformes, Scombridae. The record is from RefSeq and is a predicted model, not a curated record. The transcript has 6 exons.